GGGUUGUGAGGUUAAGCGACUAAGCGUACACGGUGGAUGCCCUGGCAGUCAGAGGCGAUGAAGGACGUGCUAAUCUGCGAUAAGCGCCGGUAAGGUGAUAUGAACCGUUAUAACCGGCGAUUUCCGAAUGGGGAAACCCAGUGUGACUCGUCACACUAUCAUUAACUGAAUCCAUAGGUUAAUGAGGCGAACCGGGGGAACUGAAACAUCUAAGUACCCCGAGGAAAAGAAAUCAACCGAGAUUCCCCCAGUAGCGGCGAGCGAACGGGGAGGAGCCCAGAGCCUGAAUCAGCAUGUGUGUUAGUGGAAGCGUCUGGAAAGGCGCGCGAUACAGGGUGACAGCCCCGUACACAAAAGCGCAUGUGCUGUGAGCUCGAUGAGUAGGGCGGGACACGUGGUAUCCUGUCUGAAUAUGGGGGGACCAUCCUCCAAGGCUAAAUACUCCUGACUGACCGAUAGUGAACCAGUACCGUGAGGGAAAGGCGAAAAGAACCCCGGCGAGGGGAGUGAAAAAGAACCUGAAACCGUGUACGUACAAGCAGUGGGAGCACAGGUUUACCUGUGUGACUGCGUACCUUUUGUAUAAUGGGUCAGCGACUUAUAUUCUGUAGCAAGGUUAACCGAAUAGGGGAGCCGGAGGGAAACCGAGUCUUAAUUGGGCGUUAAGUUGCAGGGUAUAGACCCGAAACCCGGUGAUCUAGCCAUGGGCAGGUUGAAGGUUGGGUAACACUAACUGGAGGACCGAACCGACUAAUGUUGAAAAAUUAGCGGAUGACCUGUGGCUGGGGGUGAAAGGCCAAUCAAACCGGGAGAUAGCUGGUUCUCCCCGAAAGCUAUUUAGGUAGCGCCUCGUGAAUUCAUCUCCGGGGGUAGAGCACUGUUUCGGCUAGGGGGCCAUCCCGGCUUACCAACCCGAUGCAAACUGCGAAUACCGGAGAAUGUUAUCACGGGAGACACACGGCGGGUGCUAACGUCCGUCGUGAAGAGGGAAACAACCCAGACCGCCAGCUAAGGUCCCAAAGUCAUGGUUAAGUGGGAAACGAUGUGGGAAGGCCCAGACAGCCAGGAUGUUGGCUUAGAAGCAGCCAUCAUUUAAAGAAAGCGUAAUAGCUCACUGGUCGAGUCGGCCUGCGCGGAAGAUGUAACGGGGCUAAACCAUGCACCGAAGCUGCGGCAGCGACACUCAGGUGUUGUUGGGUAGGGGAGCGUUCUGUAAGCCUGUGAAGGUGGCCUGUGAGGGUUGCUGGAGGUAUCAGAAGUGCGAAUGCUGACAUAAGUAACGAUAAAGCGGGUGAAAAGCCCGCUCGCCGGAAGACCAAGGGUUCCUGUCCAACGUUAAUCGGGGCAGGGUGAGUCGACCCCUAAGGCGAGGCCGAAAGGCGUAGUCGAUGGGAAACGGGUUAAUAUUCCCGUACUUGGUGUUACUGCGAAGGGGGGACGGAGAAGGCUAUGUUGGCCGGGCGACGGUU
Molecule: ribosomal RNA, 1469 nt
Filed under: Salmonella enterica subsp. enterica serovar Javiana
Lineage: Bacteria; Pseudomonadati; Pseudomonadota; Gammaproteobacteria; Enterobacterales; Enterobacteriaceae
Description: partial 23S ribosomal RNA
Rfam family: Bacterial large subunit ribosomal RNA
Source: RNAcentral